GGGUGAUGAUCCGAAGACACCGUCGGCUGAUCUGGUGCCUUGCGGAAGUCGGACGUCAGCUGCCAUCUCGAUGGUGUGUCGGUAUUAUGGGUUCGGCCGCUCGAUCGCUCGGAAACAGCAUGGGUCUAUUCGGCCGACACACCUUCGAUCGGAUAUUGUCGGCAGCUAUUGUUGGCAGUCAUUCGUCGGAGUCGUUGUCGG
This 201-nucleotide long non-coding RNA is filed under the name Elaeis guineensis (African oil palm). Its description in RNAcentral is "long non-coding RNA (EGUI_LNC023236)". The record is from RNAcentral. Lineage: Eukaryota; Viridiplantae; Streptophyta; Magnoliopsida; Arecales; Arecaceae.